RNAcentral lists this ribosomal RNA (491 nucleotides) under uncultured bacterium. RNAcentral's name for it is "partial 16S ribosomal RNA". It matches the Rfam family "Bacterial small subunit ribosomal RNA", at positions 29 to 506 of the family's 1533-position model. The record is from RNAcentral.
AGUGAACGCUGGCGGUAGGCCUAACACAUGCAAGUCGAACGGCAGCACAGUAAGAGCUUGCUCUUACGGGUGGCGAGUGGCGGACGGGUGAGGAAUACAUCGGAAUCUACUUUUUCGUGGGGGAUAACGUAGGGAAACUUACGCUAAUACCGCAUACGACCUACGGGUGAAAGCAGGGGAUCUUCGGACCUUGCGCGAUUGAAUGAGCCGAUGUCGGAUUAGCUAGUUGGCGGGGUAAAGGCCCACCAAGGCGACGAUCCGUAGCUGGUCUGAGAGGAUGAUCGGCCACAGUGGAACUGGGACACGGUCCAGACUCCUACGGGAGGCAGCAGUGGGGAAUAUUGGACAAUGGGCGCAAGCCUGAUCCAGCCAUACCGCGUGGGUGAAGAAGGCCUUCGGGUUGUAAAGCCCUUUUGUUGGGAAAGAAAAGCAGCAGGUUAAUACCCCGCUGUUCUGACGGUACCCAAAGAAUAAGCACCGGCUAACUUCGU